ACGUAGGGGGCGAGCGUUGUCCGGAAUUACUGGGCGUAAAGAGCACGUAGGCGGGAACUUAAGUCAGGUGUGAAAGACCGAGGCUCAGCCUCGGGGUGGCACUUGAAACUGGGUUUCUUGAGGGCAGGAGAGGAAAGCAGAAUUCCUGGUGUAGCGGUGUAAUGCGUAGAAAUCAGGAGGGAGGCGAGUGGCGAAGGCGGCUUUCUGGACUGACACUGACGCUGAGGUGCGAAAGCGUGGGUAGGAAACAG
This 251-nucleotide ribosomal RNA is filed under the name uncultured prokaryote. RNAcentral describes it as "partial 16S rRNA". It matches the Rfam family "Bacterial small subunit ribosomal RNA", at positions 525 to 775 of the family's 1533-position model. The record is from RNAcentral.